RNAcentral lists this ribosomal RNA (253 nucleotides) under uncultured prokaryote. Its description in RNAcentral is "partial 16S ribosomal RNA". It matches the Rfam family "Bacterial small subunit ribosomal RNA", at positions 524 to 776 of the family's 1533-position model. The record is from RNAcentral.
UACAGAGGUCCCAAGCGUUGUUCGGAUUCACUGGGCGUAAAGGGUGCGUAGGCGGUCGGGUAAGUCUGACGUGAAAUCUCCGAGCCCAACUCGGAAACUGCGUCGGAUACUAUUCGGCUAGAGGAAUGGAGGGGAGACUGGAAUUCUUGGUGUAGCAGUGAAAUGCGUAGAUAUCAAGAGGAACACCAGUGGCGAAGGCGAGUCCCUGGACAACUUCUGACGCUGAGGCACGAAAGCUAGGGGAGCAAACAGG